Long non-coding RNA from Pistacia vera, 179 nucleotides. RefSeq lists it as uncharacterized. The record is from RefSeq and is a predicted model, not a curated record. NCBI's taxonomy places the organism in Eukaryota, Viridiplantae, Streptophyta, Magnoliopsida, Sapindales, Anacardiaceae. The transcript has 3 exons.
GAUCAGUGCCCGAGUUUCUGUCUCAGCUGCCAUUCUUGAAGACCUUAAACUUAAGUGGAAAUAUGCUCACAGGUUCAGUACCAGUUGAACUUACUGAAAGAUCACAAAAGGGUUCCAUAUCAUUAAGUGUAGACGGAAAUCCAAAUCUUUGUUCUGAAGCUUCUUGCACAGAGAAAAGA